UCCCCGAUAGCUCAGCGGUAGAGUAGGUGACUGUUAAUCACUUGGUCGUUGGUUCGAAUCCAACUCGGGGAGCCA
This 75-nucleotide transfer RNA is filed under the name Erythrobacter sp. RNAcentral's name for it is "tRNA-Asn". It matches the Rfam family "tRNA". Rfam says of the family: Transfer RNA (tRNA) molecules are approximately 80 nucleotides in length. Their secondary structure includes four short double-helical elements and three loops (D, anti-codon, and T loops). Lineage: Bacteria; Pseudomonadati; Pseudomonadota; Alphaproteobacteria; Sphingomonadales; Erythrobacteraceae. RNAcentral also lists the same sequence under 305 other names. The record is from RNAcentral.